UAGACCUACGGGGCGCAGCAGUAGGGAAUCUUCGGCAAUGGGCGAAAGCCUGACCGAGCAACGCCGCGUGAAUGAAGAAGGCCUUCGGGUUGUAAAACUCUGUUAUAAGGGAAGAAAGGUGAUAGGAGGAAAUGACUAUCAAUUGACGGUACCUUAUGAGAAAGCCACGGCUAACUACGUGCCAGCAGCCGCGGUAAUACGUAGGUGGCAAGCGUUGUCCGGAUUUAUUGGGCGUAAAGCGAGUGCAGGCGGUUCAAUAAGUCUGAUGUGAAAGCCUUCGGCUC
Molecule: ribosomal RNA, 284 nt
Filed under: uncultured bacterium
Lineage: Bacteria
Description: partial 16S ribosomal RNA
Rfam family: Bacterial small subunit ribosomal RNA
Source: RNAcentral